This 413-nucleotide ribosomal RNA is filed under the name uncultured prokaryote. Its description in RNAcentral is "bacterial SSU rRNA". It matches the Rfam family "Bacterial small subunit ribosomal RNA", at positions 505 to 918 of the family's 1533-position model. The record is from RNAcentral.
GUGCCAGCAGCCGCGGUAAUACGAAGGGGGCUAGCGUUGUUCGGAAUUACUGGGCGUAAAGCGCGCGUAGGCGGUGAUCUUUGUCAGAGGUGAAAGCCCGGGGCUCAACUCCGGAAUUGCCUUUGAAACGGGAUCGCUAGAGUCCGAGAGAGGAUGGCGGAAUUCCUAGUGUAGAGGUGAAAUUCGUAGAUAUUAGGAAGAACACCGGUGGCGAAGGCGGCCAUCUGGCUCGGUACUGACGCUCAGGCGCGAAAGCGUGGGGAGCAAACAGGAUUAGAUACCCUGGUAGUCCACGCCGUAAACUAUGAAUGCUAGUUGUUAGGAAGUUUACUUCUUAGUGACGCAGCUAACGCGUUAAGCAUUCCGCCUGGGGAGUACGGUCGCAAGAUUAAAACUCAAAGGAAUUGGCGGGG